ACUUAGAUAGUUUAAUAAAAACGUUGAUUUGUGGUGUCAGAAAUAUAAUAAUUAUUCUAGGUU
RNAcentral lists this transfer RNA (63 nucleotides) under Gromphadorhina oblongonota. RNAcentral describes it as "tRNA-His". Lineage: Eukaryota; Metazoa; Arthropoda; Insecta; Blattodea; Blaberidae. The record is from RNAcentral.